This 429-nucleotide ribosomal RNA is filed under the name uncultured bacterium. Its description in RNAcentral is "partial 16S ribosomal RNA". It matches the Rfam family "Bacterial small subunit ribosomal RNA", at positions 356 to 779 of the family's 1533-position model. The record is from RNAcentral.
UGGGAAUUUGACGAAUGGGGCAACCGUGAUCCAGCAAUGCCGCGUGUGUGAAGAAGGCCUUCGGGUUGUAAAGCACUUUUGUCCGGAAAGAAAACGUCGUGGUUAAUACCCGUGGCGGCUGACGGUACCGGAAGAAUAAGCACCGGCUAACUACGUGCCAGCAGCCGCGGUAAUACGUAGGGUGCAAGCGUUAAUCGGAAUUACUGGGCGUAAAGCGUGCGCAGGCGGUCCGCUAAGACAGAUGUGAAAUCCCCGGGCUUAACCUGGGAACUGCAUUUGUGACUGGCGGGCUAGAGUAUGGCAGAGGGGGGUAGAAUUCCACGUGUAGCAGUGAAAUGCGUAGAGAUGUGGAGGAAUACCGAUGGCGAAGGCAGCCCCCUGGGCCAAUACUGACGCUCAUGCACGAAAGCGUGGGGAGCAAACAGGAUU